This 383-nucleotide ribosomal RNA is filed under the name uncultured bacterium. Its description in RNAcentral is "bacterial SSU rRNA". It matches the Rfam family "Bacterial small subunit ribosomal RNA", at positions 28 to 412 of the family's 1533-position model. The record is from RNAcentral.
GACGAACGCUGGCGGCGUGCUUAACACAUGCAAGUCGAGCGGUAAGGCCCUUUCGGGGGUACACGAGCGGCGAACGGGUGAGUAACACGUGGGUGGCCUGCCCUUAGCUCUGGGAUAAGCCUGGGAAACUGGGUCUAAUACCGGAUAUGACUCCAUGACGCAUGUUGUGGGGUGGAAAGCCUUGUGCGGCUAGGGAUGGGCCCGCGGCCUAUCAGCUUGUUGGUGGGGUGAUGGCCUACCAAGGCGACGACGGGUAGCCGGCCUGAGAGGGCGACCGGCCACACUGGGACUGAGACACGGCCCAGACUCCUACGGGAGGCAGCAGUGGGGAAUCUUGCGCAAUGGGCGAAAGCCUGACGCAGCGACGCCGCGUGAGGGAUGAC